This 423-nucleotide ribosomal RNA is filed under the name uncultured bacterium. Its description in RNAcentral is "bacterial SSU rRNA". It matches the Rfam family "Bacterial small subunit ribosomal RNA", at positions 207 to 622 of the family's 1533-position model. The record is from RNAcentral.
AAGACCUUGCGCUUUUGGAGCGGCCGAUGCCUGAUUAGCUUGUUGGUAAGGUAAAAGCUUACCAAGGCUUCGAUCAGUAGCUGGUCUGAGAGGACGGCCAGCCACACUGGGACUGAGACACGGCCCAGACUCCUACGGGAGGCAGCAGUGGGGAAUUUUGGACAAUGGGGGAAACCCUGAUCCAGCCAUGCCGCGUGAGUGAAGAAGGCCUUCGGGUUGUAAAGCUCUUUCAGCCGGAACGAAACGGUUACGGUUAAUACCCGUGAUUACUGACGGUACCGGAAGAAGAAGCACCGGCUAACUACGUGCCAGCAGCCGCGGUAAUACGUAGGGUGCGAGCGUUAAUCGGAAUUACUGGGCGUAAAGCGUGCGCAGGUGGUUUUGUAAGUCAGAUGUGAAAGCCCCGGGCUCAACCUGGGAACU